CCUACGGGGGGCAGCAGUGGGGAAUAUUGGACAAUGGGGGCAACCCUGAUCCAGCCAUGCCGCGUGUGUGAAGAAGGCCCUCGGGUUGUAAAGCACUUUCAGUGAGGAAGAACGCCUGGUGGUUAAUACCCAUCAGGAAAGACAUCACUCACAGAAGAAGCACCGGCUAACUCCGUGUCAGCAGCCGCGGUAAUACGGAGGGUGCGAGCGUUAAUCGGAAUUACUGGGCGUAAAGCGCGCGUAGGUGGCUUGAUAAGCCGGUUGUGAAAGCCCCGGGCUCAACCUGGGAACGGCAUCCGGAACUGUCAAGCUAGAGUGCAGGAGAGGAAGGUAGAAUUCCCGGUGUAGCGGUGAAAUGCGUAGAGAUCGGGAGGAAUACCAGUGGCGAAGGCGGCCUUCUGGACUGACACUGACACUGAGGUGCGAAAGCGUGGGUAGCAAACAGGAUUAGAUACCCCUGUAGUC
Molecule: ribosomal RNA, 465 nt
Filed under: Vreelandella stevensii
Lineage: Bacteria; Pseudomonadati; Pseudomonadota; Gammaproteobacteria; Oceanospirillales; Halomonadaceae
Description: partial 16S ribosomal RNA
Rfam family: Bacterial small subunit ribosomal RNA
Source: RNAcentral